AUUGCUUCUCGGCCUUUUGGCUAAGAUCAAGUGUAAUGUCUGUUCUUAUCAGCUUAAUAGCUAAUGCAUCCUCUAUUUGAGGACAAUAUAUUAAAUAGAUUUUUGGAACAGGGAGAUAGAAUAGGAGCUUGCUCCAUCCACUCCACACAUCGACCUGGUAUUGUAGUACUUCCAGGAAUGGUGCACCCCCU
Mustela putorius furo (domestic ferret) is the source of this 191-nucleotide small nuclear RNA. Its record names the gene U2. It matches the Rfam family "U2 spliceosomal RNA". From Rfam's summary of the family: U2 is a small nuclear RNA (snRNA) component of the spliceosome (involved in pre-mRNA splicing). Complementary binding between U2 snRNA (in an area lying towards the 5' end but 3' to hairpin I) and the branchpoint sequence (BPS) of the intron results the bulging out of an unpaired adenosine, on the BPS, which initiates a nucleophilic attack at the intronic 5' splice site, thus starting the first of two transesterification reactions that mediate splicing. NCBI's taxonomy places the organism in Eukaryota, Metazoa, Chordata, Mammalia, Carnivora, Mustelidae. The record is from Ensembl.